RNAcentral lists this ribosomal RNA (1494 nucleotides) under Klebsiella sp. ok1_1_9_S42. RNAcentral describes it as "bacterial SSU rRNA". It matches the Rfam family "Bacterial small subunit ribosomal RNA". Lineage: Bacteria; Pseudomonadati; Pseudomonadota; Gammaproteobacteria; Enterobacterales; Enterobacteriaceae. The record is from RNAcentral. RNAcentral also lists the same sequence under 1 other name.
ACGCUGGCGGCAGGCCUAACACAUGCAAGUCGAGCGGUAGCACAGAGAGCUUGCUCUCGGGUGACGAGCGGCGGACGGGUGAGUAAUGUCUGGGAAACUGCCUGAUGGAGGGGGAUAACUACUGGAAACGGUAGCUAAUACCGCAUAAUGUCGCAAGACCAAAGUGGGGGACCUUCGGGCCUCAUGCCAUCAGAUGUGCCCAGAUGGGAUUAGCUAGUAGGUGGGGUAACGGCUCACCUAGGCGACGAUCCCUAGCUGGUCUGAGAGGAUGACCAGCCACACUGGAACUGAGACACGGUCCAGACUCCUACGGGAGGCAGCAGUGGGGAAUAUUGCACAAUGGGCGCAAGCCUGAUGCAGCCAUGCCGCGUGUGUGAAGAAGGCCUUCGGGUUGUAAAGCACUUUCAGCGGGGAGGAAGGCGGUAAGGUUAAUAACCUCAUCGAUUGACGUUACCCGCAGAAGAAGCACCGGCUAACUCCGUGCCAGCAGCCGCGGUAAUACGGAGGGUGCAAGCGUUAAUCGGAAUUACUGGGCGUAAAGCGCACGCAGGCGGUCUGUCAAGUCGGAUGUGAAAUCCCCGGGCUCAACCUGGGAACUGCAUUCGAAACUGGCAGGCUAGAGUCUUGUAGAGGGGGGUAGAAUUCCAGGUGUAGCGGUGAAAUGCGUAGAGAUCUGGAGGAAUACCGGUGGCGAAGGCGGCCCCCUGGACAAAGACUGACGCUCAGGUGCGAAAGCGUGGGGAGCAAACAGGAUUAGAUACCCUGGUAGUCCACGCCGUAAACGAUGUCGAUUUGGAGGUUGUGCCCUUGAGGCGUGGCUUCCGGAGCUAACGCGUUAAAUCGACCGCCUGGGGAGUACGGCCGCAAGGUUAAAACUCAAAUGAAUUGACGGGGGCCCGCACAAGCGGUGGAGCAUGUGGUUUAAUUCGAUGCAACGCGAAGAACCUUACCUGGUCUUGACAUCCACAGAACUUUCCAGAGAUGGAUUGGUGCCUUCGGGAACUGUGAGACAGGUGCUGCAUGGCUGUCGUCAGCUCGUGUUGUGAAAUGUUGGGUUAAGUCCCGCAACGAGCGCAACCCUUAUCCUUUGUUGCCAGCGGUCCGGCCGGGAACUCAAAGGAGACUGCCAGUGAUAAACUGGAGGAAGGUGGGGAUGACGUCAAGUCAUCAUGGCCCUUACGACCAGGGCUACACACGUGCUACAAUGGCAUAUACAAAGAGAAGCGACCUCGCGAGAGCAAGCGGACCUCAUAAAGUAUGUCGUAGUCCGGAUUGGAGUCUGCAACUCGACUCCAUGAAGUCGGAAUCGCUAGUAAUCGUAGAUCAGAAUGCUACGGUGAAUACGUUCCCGGGCCUUGUACACACCGCCCGUCACACCAUGGGAGUGGGUUGCAAAAGAAGUAGGUAGCUUAACCUUCGGGAGGGCGCUUACCACUUUGUGAUUCAUGACUGGGGUGAAGUCGUAACAAGGUAACCGUAGGGGAACCUGCGGCU